This 28-nucleotide non-coding RNA is filed under the name Mus musculus (house mouse). The record is from RNAcentral. Lineage: Eukaryota; Metazoa; Chordata; Mammalia; Rodentia; Muridae.
UGAAGUCAGGUUUUUACUCCCAAGACUA